AAGUCGUAACAAGGUUUCCGUAGGUGAACCUGCGGAAGGAUCAUUAUUGAAGUCUCUGAGAGGUUUCGUUGCUGGCUCUCCGGAGCACUGUGCACGCCUCUCACACUUUAUUCAACCACCUGUGCACCUCUCGUAGCUUUUCAGAUGCUUUCUUCAGUCUUCGGGCUGGCGGGGACUGCUGCAGUGAUUUUGCUCACAGCUUCAGUCCGAUAUCUGAAAGGUUUGCGCUCUACACAAACACUGUCAAUGUUUAAGAAUGUAUCACGGUCUUUUUGGACCUUAAAACUAUAAUACAACUUUCAACAACGGAUCUCUUGGCUCUC
RNAcentral lists this unclassified non-coding RNA (323 nucleotides) under fungal sp. Its description in RNAcentral is "partial internal transcribed spacer region". The stretch from base 1 to 46 matches the Rfam family "Eukaryotic small subunit ribosomal RNA", at positions 1786 to 1831 of the family's 1831-position model. Lineage: Eukaryota; Fungi. The record is from RNAcentral.